Molecule: ribosomal RNA, 424 nt
Filed under: uncultured bacterium
Lineage: Bacteria
Description: partial 16S ribosomal RNA
Rfam family: Bacterial small subunit ribosomal RNA
Source: RNAcentral
AAUGUUGGACAUUGGACGCAAGCGUGAUCCAGCCAGGCCGCGUGAUUGAAGAAGGCCAUCUGUUUGUAAAUCUCUUUCGGACGGAAAGUAAUCGCGCAGGCAAAGACCCUGCGCGGAUGACGGUACCGUCAUAAGGUGCACCGGCUCACUACGUGUCAGCCGAGGCGGUAAUCCGUAGGGUGCGAGCGUUAAACUGUAUUACUGGGCGUAAAGCGUGCGGCGGCGGUUGAUAAAGACAGGCGUGAGAUGCCCGGGCUUAACCUGGGAACUGCGCUUGUGACUAGUCAGCUAGAGUACGGCAGAGGGGGGUGGAAUUCCACGUGUAGCAGUGAAAUGCGUAGAGAUGUGGAGGAACACCGAUGGCGAAGGCAGCCCCCUGGGCCGAUACUGACGCUCAUGCACGAAAGCGUGGGUAGCAAACAGG